AUCGGCUUGAAGCGAGCCAGCUCCUUCAUGCGGGUGGGACCUUUCUUAUGGCUGAUCCACACGCUGAACGAGCCCUGCAUCAACACGCGGCCCAGCUCGCAGAUGUCACCCUGCACAUAACGGAAGGAGGUGUUUAUGUUGGCUUGCUGUGAUAUUUGUGUCAACAAGAUCUGCUGCUGACUGAUGUCCAAGCAUCAGGCCCACUAUCAAACCCUGCUCUCUGUCUAACCUUAAGCAGCAGCUGAUAUUUGGUGAGGCGUUGGACUGGUUUCAACAGAAAACAAGCUCCCACACCUUCAGGAGCCUCCAGGCAUCCUUCCAGGUCCUGAAGGAAGACCCUGGAUUCCCAGAAGGUCAAAGGUCACACAUCAACCUCAGUGCAUAAAGUGGUAUAUACAUGGGGUUUUCUACAGAAAUACUUGUUAUACUUAAUCUUGCACACCAUCGACAACAGUACGAGUAUAAAUAAAAAUUCUUGACAUAAUUGUGUCUAUUUUUGUGUGUCAUGGUCAAACUUGCAUGCAUUAUUAUACAUUCUUGGUAUGUUAA
Molecule: long non-coding RNA, 549 nt
Organism: Seriola aureovittata
Lineage: Eukaryota; Metazoa; Chordata; Actinopteri; Carangiformes; Carangidae
Exons: 4
Source: RefSeq, a predicted model, not a curated record